CUAUGAAACAUCACACCUGCUUGUCCAAGCCUGAUCUCGUCAGAUCUCAGAAAAUAAGCAAGGCUGGGCCUGGUUAGUAGGUGGAGAGGAGACUGCUGGGAAUACCAGGUGCCACAGU
This 118-nucleotide ribosomal RNA is filed under the name Periophthalmus magnuspinnatus. Lineage: Eukaryota; Metazoa; Chordata; Actinopteri; Gobiiformes; Gobiidae. The record is from RNAcentral.